Molecule: long non-coding RNA, 503 nt
Filed under: Rattus norvegicus (Norway rat)
Lineage: Eukaryota; Metazoa; Chordata; Mammalia; Rodentia; Muridae
Description: long non-coding RNA NONRATT014699
Source: RNAcentral
UCACCCCUCUUCCCCUCUCACAGCCACCUCCACAAUGUGAUGGUCCAUCUGCAGCAGGAGAACAAGAAGCUGAAGAACGAGAUUGAAGAGAAGAAGCUAAAGGCUGGGAACCCGAGGAUCUGUGCCAAGGUCCUAGGCCCGUGCAAACUGGAGCCGUCCCAGAAGGGAAAGCUGUGCGGUGCACUGGGCUGGAGAGGAGUAUGCCAGGACCCACUGCCGAAAAUGGACCUCACCAAGUACACCGGGGUGCCUCACUGCUCAGGAUCCUCCUAUUGCUAGACUUGGCUCUUCACCCUAAGCGUCUCUUCUACACGUAUACAGAGGACCGUGAGUUCCCGCCCCUCUUUCUUGACCGGAAUCAGCUCCUACAGUCGUCCGUCAAGGCCCCUGCCUCGUUUGCACCAUGCUCAUGCAUUAUUGUUUUGCCUACUUCCUGAAGUGGAGUUGUGGUACCUCACUCCCCCCAGACUCUGGGCCCAGACUCUGAAAUAAAGAUACAAACA